AAUGCAGUCGAGCGAACAGAUGAGAAGCUUGCUUCUCUGAUGUUAGCGGCGGACGGGUGAGUAACACGUGGGUAACCUACCUAUAAGACUGGGAUAACUCCGGGAAACCGGGGCUAAUACCGGAUAAUAUUUUGAACCGCAUGGUUCAAUAGUGAAAGACGGUUUCGGCUGUCACUUAUAGAUGGACCCGCGCCGUAUUAGCUAGUUGGUAAGGUAACGGCUUACCAAGGCGACGAUACGUAGCCGACCUGAGAGGGUGAUCGGCCACACUGGAACUGAGACACGGUCCAGACUCCUACGGGAGGCAGCAGUAGGGAAUCUUCCGCAAUGGGCGAAAGCCUGACGGAGCAACGCCGCGUGAGUGAUGAAGGUCUUCGGAUCGUAAAACUCUGUUGUUAGGGAAGAACAAAUUUGUUAGUAACUGAACAAGUCUUGACGGUACCUAACCAGAAAGCCACGGCUAACUACGUGCCAGCAGCCGCGGUAAUACGUAGGUGGCAAGCGUUAUCCGGAAUUAUUGGGCGUAAAGCGCGCGUAGGCGGUUUCUUAAGUCUGAUGUGAAAGCCCACGGCUCAACCGUGGAGGGUCAUUGGAAACUGGGAAACUUGAGUGCAGAAGAGGAGAGUGGAAUUCCAUGUGUAGCGGUGAAAUGCGCAGAGAUAUGGAGGAACACCAGUGGCGAAGGCGGCUCUCUGGUCUGUAACUGACGCUGAUGUGCGAAAGCGUGGGGAUCAAACAGGAUUAGAUACCCUGGUAGUCCACGCCGUAAACGAUGAGUGCUAAGUGUUAGGGGGUUUCCGCCCCUUAGUGCUGCAGCUAACGCAUUAAGCACUCCGCCUGGGGAGUACGACCGCAAGGUUGAAACUCAAAGGAAUUGACGGGGACCCGCACAAGCGGUGGAACAUGUGGUUUAAUUCGAAGCAACGCGAAGAACCUUACCAAAUCUUGACAUCCUUUGACCGCUCUAGAGAUAGAGUCUUCCCCUUCGGGGGACAAAAUGACAGGUGGUGCAUGGUUGUCCUCAGCUCCUGUCCUGAAAUGUUGGGUUAAGUCCCGCAACCAACCGCAACCCUUAAGCUUAGUUGCCAUCAUUAAGUUGGGCACUCCAGGUUGACUGCC
RNAcentral lists this ribosomal RNA (1119 nucleotides) under Mammaliicoccus sciuri. RNAcentral's name for it is "bacterial SSU rRNA". It matches the Rfam family "Bacterial small subunit ribosomal RNA", at positions 54 to 1153 of the family's 1533-position model. Lineage: Bacteria; Bacillati; Bacillota; Bacilli; Caryophanales; Staphylococcaceae. The record is from RNAcentral.